Small nuclear RNA from Lemur catta (Ring-tailed lemur), 106 nucleotides. The record is from RefSeq and is a predicted model, not a curated record. Lineage: Eukaryota; Metazoa; Chordata; Mammalia; Primates; Lemuridae.
GUGCUCACUUCGGCAGCACGUAUACUAAAAUUAGAACAGUACAGAGAAGAUUGGUGUGGCCUCUGUGUAAGGAGGCAUGCAAAUUCGUGAAGCGUUCCAUAUUUUU